RNAcentral lists this ribosomal RNA (1012 nucleotides) under Imnadia yeyetta. Its description in RNAcentral is "eukaryotic LSU rRNA". It matches the Rfam family "Eukaryotic large subunit ribosomal RNA", at positions 54 to 955 of the family's 3401-position model. Lineage: Eukaryota; Metazoa; Arthropoda; Branchiopoda; Diplostraca; Limnadiidae. The record is from RNAcentral.
AGGAAAAGAAACUAACAAGGAUUCCCCUAGUAGCGGCGAGCGAAGAGGGAAGAGCCCAGCACCGAACCUCGCACCUUCGGGUGUCGCGGAAUGUGGUGUUCAGGAGGACCGUGCGCGUCUGUCCGGUAUCGUCCAAGUCUCCAUGAAUGGGGCCAGUUACCCAGAGAGGGUGUCAGGCCCGUGGGACGAGCCGCGACCGUGCAUUGGGUCUCUCCUUAGAGUCGGGUUGCUUGAGAGUGCAGCCCUAAGCGGGAGGUAAACUCCUUCUAAGGCUAAAUACGGCCACGAGACCGAUAGCAAACAAGUACCGCGAGGGAAAGUUGAAAAGAACUUUGAAGAGAGAGUUCAAGAGUGCGUGAAACCGUUCAGGGGGUUAAACGGGUGGGCCCUCGAAGGUCGAAAGGUCCUCACUCCCGGUCACUGCAGUUCGGCCCGCGCCGCUCUCGAUUCCGCUACGGAACGAAGUGGUGCGGCUCGCCGGGCUACGGGGGCCGUUAGCUGAGGGCCCGGUAGGACUCCGCAACCGGCUGGGAGGCCGUCAGAAGGGCUCUGUGAGGAAGCUCCCUCGUGGAGUGGAUUCCGGGGUUCCGGGCGGUCCUCUCGGCCGUGAACCGAGAUUUCCGCCUUCACGGGUAGGAAUUGGCGGAGAGUAGAGUCGGGUCCCACCCGACCCGUCUUGAAACACGGACCAAGGAGUCUAACAUGUGCGCGAGUCGUCGGGUACUACUAAACCCGAAGGCGCAAUGAAAGUGAARGCCGCCCUCGUUGGCGGCCUAGGGGAGAUCCCGUUCUGCUCCGGUAGCUCGGGCGCAUCCCCGGGGCGUCGAAGCCGCGUUGCCGGCUAGACGCACCAAGAGCGUACACGUUGGGACCCGAAAGAUGGUGACCUAUGCCUGGCCAGGACGAAGCCAGGGGAAACCCUGGUGGAGGUCCGCAGCGAUUCUGACGUGCAAAUCGAUCGUCUGAGUUGGGUAUAGGGGCGAAAGACUAAUCGAACCAUCUAGUAGCUGGU